UAACCGGCGAACGGGUGCGUAACACGUGAACAACCUGCCCUCCGUGUGGGGGAUAGCCAUGCUAACGCGUGGGUAAUACCGCAUACGUUCUCUGAAGGGAGUCCUUUGGAGAGGAAAGCUCCGGCGCACGGGGAGGGGUUCGCGGCCUAUCAGCUAGUUGGCGGGGUAAUGGCCCACCAAGGCGACGACGGGUAGCUGGUCUGAGAGGGUGACCGGCCACACUGGGACUGAGACACGGCCCAG
RNAcentral lists this ribosomal RNA (243 nucleotides) under uncultured bacterium. RNAcentral's name for it is "partial 16S ribosomal RNA". It matches the Rfam family "Bacterial small subunit ribosomal RNA", at positions 92 to 334 of the family's 1533-position model. The record is from RNAcentral.